GACGACGCUGGCGGCGUGGAUUAGGCAUGCAAGUCGAACGGUAUCAUCCUUUCGGGGGUGAGAGAGUGGCGAACUGGUGAGUAACACGUAGGUUAUCUACCCUCAAGACGGGGACAACCCAGGGGAAACUUGGGCUAAUACCGGAUGUGAGCAACUUUUAGUUGUUUGAAAGGUGGCGUAAGCUGUCGCUUGGGGAUGAGCCUGCGUCCUAUUAGUUAGUUGGUGAGGUAACGGCUCACCUAGGCAAUGAUAGGUAGGCGGCCUUAACGGGUGGUCGCCCACACUGGGAUUGAGAUACGGCCCAGACUCCUACGGGAGGCAGCAGUCGAGAAUAGUCUACAAUGGUCGGAAGACUGAUAGUGCGACGCCGCGUGAACGAUGAAUCCCUUCGGGGUGUAAAGUUCUUUUAUAUGUGAGCAGUGCUUCUUAUAUUAACAGUAUGGGGAGAGAGAUAUUAGUAUAUGAAUAAGCAACGGCUAACUCCGUG
Molecule: ribosomal RNA, 487 nt
Filed under: uncultured bacterium
Lineage: Bacteria
Description: bacterial SSU rRNA
Rfam family: Bacterial small subunit ribosomal RNA
Source: RNAcentral